This 148-nucleotide non-coding RNA is filed under the name Nomascus leucogenys (northern white-cheeked gibbon). Lineage: Eukaryota; Metazoa; Chordata; Mammalia; Primates; Hylobatidae. The record is from Rfam by way of RNAcentral.
GCUGGGCGCAGUGGCGUGCGCCUGUCAUCCCAGCUACUUGGGAGGCUGAGGCAGGAGAAUCGCUUGGACCUGGGAGACGGGGGUUGCAGUGAGCCAAGAUCACGCCACUGCACUCCAGCCUGGGUGACAGAGUGAGACUCUGUCCCAA